RNAcentral lists this long non-coding RNA (1524 nucleotides) under Anser brachyrhynchus (Pink-footed goose). Its description in RNAcentral is "lncRNA (ENSABRG00000008526.1)". The record is from RNAcentral. Lineage: Eukaryota; Metazoa; Chordata; Aves; Anseriformes; Anatidae.
AUGUGCAGGUUUGGGCGUAAAAUGUGCUCGGUGGACUUGCAGUUUGCCAUAUCUGUUGGUAGUUUAGCCCUGAAGCUAAACCCAAAAGAUGAGCAGCCUAACUUCUGCCUGCACAAAGGGGAAGAACUACCGAGCACUGAGGCAUUUCCACCUGUGCUUCAGAGCAGUAGCAGUUGUCCAAGAAAAGAAACCAAACUGCCUGUCAGCCACAGCAGCUUACCAUGGCUGACACGGCGAGCCUUGGAACACGAUGACCUCUGUAGAUGGCAGCCAGCAGCAAAAACCUGGUUGGACCUGCAGAGAUACAGCACAAUGAAGAGGGCUGGCACUUCGGAUUGCAACAUUACUGAAACGAAAAGCGUGAACACUACAGGAAUUUCUGCUCUAUGGAAAAAUGUUAUUUUUGGAUUCUUCAGGAAGGCGUGCGUAUAAAACCACCGGUUCCCUGGUGAGUGACUAGUCCUUGAGACCAGAGAACUUUCGUCUUAAUUUUUGGUUGUGGUAGGUGAUGUCAUAGUUGGACAUACAUUUACAUUAAGCUGCAACUGGCAUCUCAGUGACAAAGACCUUCAUGUUUUUCUAUUAAACACUUAGGCAACGAAUUUCUUACAGCAAGACUGACGAAAUGAGUCUUGUUUCUUCCUUUUUUUUGGUAAUCUACUAUCUGUGUGUCUUUGUAUUGAUAUUACUAACAUUGUUUUAGUAAUUUGCCCUCCCUGAUUGCAUAUACCUUAAAGUCUCAAAGCUGGCAAAUGUUAGGAACAACUGCACUUUAGUUUAUUAGCAGUAAAGGGCAUGCUUUUAGAACAGCAGAUUUGGGAUGUAAUCUUGCUUGCAAUGGGAGCUAUCGGUGUCUUGUCCGUGCUGCAUGGAGAUGACCGUGAAAUCUCAAGUUUCUGUGGUUUUCCUUUCCAUGCUGAUGUAACUUACACAUGUUCACAUGCGGAUAUGGGACUUGUUUGAAGAAGUUUUGCAGUUUGAAUCAGGGAAGUGUCUUGUGCUCUAACUGCUGGUCGGACUUUAUAGCUGCGUUAGUAAAAGACACCUUUAGUGCUAGUUUUUAUUUAGGAACGUCAGUAUUACUUGUACACAGGGAGACAAUCUGUGUGACUUGGCAAAUGGUUUAAUCGUUCUGUUUUUCUUCUAGUCAAGAAUAUUACUCUUGCUAUAUCUAAUCUAGAGUUGUAAAUUGCAGCAGAGGUACAAAUCCAAAACAAACAUUUUGAAGAAUUUUGAAUGGAGUAGAGCCCCAAUUUCCAUUUCAGUGCUCUCUCUGUUGUCCGAUUUGUUAAACUCAAGUGGUCCCAUGUGCGAGUAGCAUGACUGCCAGAAGUGCUCUCCAGCCAUCUGCUUUUUUGGUAAGUUUUUGAUUAUUUCUUUGUCCAUUUUUCUGUCCAAAAUUAGAACUGGCAACUCAAUUGGUUGGUUAAUAUUGUAUUUUUUAUAAUUUAACAUUUCCAGCUUAUGGGUAGGAAAUGGCAGCACGGUAAUAAAAAGCACAAGAAAUAAACUUUCCUACUGAAG